ACACCUGUGAGAACGCUCUCCCACCUGUAAAGGAGGAAGGGGUUGAUAUCAGGCACAAUAUUUAGCCCAAGACAUCUAGCCACGCCACACCCACAAGGGUACUCAGCAGUGAUUAACUUUUUUAAUAAACGUCAGUUUGAUUUAGUCAAUGAAAAUGGAGCCGGCCAACCUGGUGCCAGCCGCCGCGGUUACACCAUGGGGCUCAAAUUGAUUUUUUUCGGCGUAAAGCGUGAUUAAAGAAAUAUGCUCAUUAAGGUUAAAUUUUAACUAAACUGUUUAACGUUUGUUAUAAUCAAACUCAUACUCGAAAGAUACCUUAACUAACCAGCUUAAACUCACGACAACUGGGAUACAAACUGGGAUUAGAUACCCCAUUAUGCUCAGUUAUAAACUUUAACUUACACACCCACUCGCCAGGGAACUACGAGCAAAGCUUGAAACCCAAAGGACUUGACGGUGCCCCAUAUCCCCCUAGAGGAGCCUGUCCCAUAAUCGAUGAUCCCCGCUAUACCCUACCACCCCUAGGAAUCAGUUUGUAUACUUCCGUCGACAGCUUACCGUGUGAACGUAAGUAAGCCUAAUGGUUUCCCACCAAUACGUCAGGUCAAAGUGCAGCUCAUGAGGUGGAGAAAGAUGGGCUACACUUUCUACUAUAGAAGAUACGAAAGUCUAUAUGAAACUCUAUUCUGAAGGCGGAUUUAGUAGUAAAAAGGAAAUAGCAUACCCUUUUUAAAUCGCACUGGAGCGUGUACACACCGCCCGUCACCCUCUUCAACAAAUCAUCCUAGUUCUUAACAUAAUAAAUACACAAGAAGAGGUAAGUCGUAACAUGGUAAGUGUACCGGAAGGUGCACUUGGAAG
RNAcentral lists this non-coding RNA (861 nucleotides) under Pristimantis lanthanites (metallic robber frog). RNAcentral describes it as "partial 12S ribosomal RNA". It matches the Rfam family "Bacterial small subunit ribosomal RNA", at positions 348 to 1522 of the family's 1533-position model. Lineage: Eukaryota; Metazoa; Chordata; Amphibia; Anura; Strabomantidae. The record is from RNAcentral.